RNAcentral lists this transfer RNA (73 nucleotides) under Planctomycetota bacterium. RNAcentral's name for it is "tRNA-OTHER". The record is from RNAcentral. Lineage: Bacteria; Pseudomonadati; Planctomycetota.
GCCAAGGAGUUACAAAUCGAAUUAGCGAUUCGUAAUGAUCAGGUCGUCGGUUCAAAUCCGACCAUUGGCUCCA